GCGAGCCUGGGAAGGGCACAGAGGAGACGGAAGGAUUGGUUUUCCAAGAAAGGAAAGGAGGCCCCGGCAAGGCCAGCCCGACUACUACGAAUAUUGAUCUACCGCUUCUCCACAGAAGUUCUCAAAGCAGUUGACACAGGGAGGCACUCUGGAUGUUUAAUGUGAACAGAAAAGCAAGAUAUAAAGAUAUGUAAAUACAUACAGUAUAAAGGGUGAUGAUGGAUUAUAAGAUUUAAAAACCAUGUCUUAGGGAUAUUGGGUCUGAGCAGAAUUCCACAAAGGAUGAGUGCAGCAGCCAUAUAAUUCUGCUGACAAGGCAAAGAAAUGGCAUCCACCCUGGAGCUCAGGGCUGUGUGUGCUCUGGGUUAAAAUGGGGAAAAACUUUGCACUCUGAAAAGCUCAGUCCUGCAGCCUAUAUACACUUACUGCAAAACAAGCACAUCUGCACAAUUAAAUUUGCUAACUUGGAUGGAAUUUUUGUCAUUUUGCAUAAUUUAUUCUGGGUUUUCUCAUAAUGGGGGGAGGAAAAUCCCACCUACCCAAAAGAUUACUAUAAAUCUCCUUCAGCCACCUCUCUUUUUAACUGAAAGCAGAGAACAAGUAGCUGAAUUCUGCACUCAUUUAUAUAUUCUGCAAGAGCUUUCCCAGACAGGAGGCUUUACUGAGGGUUUAUGGCGAGUUCGAAGUGGCCCCCAAAAGUCGAAACAAAAUGUUGAUUGUUUUAUCCACAGAUACAAACCAGGCUACACUCUGACAUAGGAAGCUGCCAUAUACUGAGUCAGACCACUGGUCUCUUUAGCUCAGUAUUGUCUUCACAAAGUGGCAGCAGCUUCUCCAAGGUUGCAGGCAGGAAUCCCUCUCAGCCCUGUCUUGGAGAUGCUGCCAGGGAGGGAACUUGGAACCUUCUGCUCUUCCCAUAUUGGCGGCUCCAUCCCCUGAGGGGAAUCUCGUACAGUGCUCACGCUUCUAGUCUCCCAUUCAUAUGCAACCAGGGCGGACCCUGCUUAGCUAAGGGGACAAGUCAUGCUUGCUACCACAAGACCAGCUCUCCUCUCCUCUUUUUCAUCUGACGCGUGAUGAAAAACCCGAAUUUAUUUAUUUAUUCUAUUCUAUUUUAUUUAUUGUUAAUUUAUAUACUGCCUUUCAUUAAAACAAUCCCAAGGAGG
Hemicordylus capensis (graceful crag lizard) is the source of this 1166-nucleotide long non-coding RNA. RefSeq lists it as uncharacterized. NCBI's taxonomy places the organism in Eukaryota, Metazoa, Chordata, Lepidosauria, Squamata, Cordylidae. The record is from RefSeq and is a predicted model, not a curated record. The transcript is spliced from 2 exons.